ACGCUCGACACCUACGUGAGGCAGCAGUGGGGAAUAUUGCACAAUGGGGGAAACCCUGAUGCAGCGACGCCGCGUGAGUGAAGAAGUAUUUCGGUAUGUAAAGCUCUAUCAGCAGGGAAGAAGAUGACGGUACCUGAGUAAGAAGCCCCGGCUAACUACGUGCAGCAGCCGCGGUAAUCUGAGGCGGGCUGGCAAGGC
RNAcentral lists this ribosomal RNA (198 nucleotides) under uncultured bacterium. RNAcentral's name for it is "partial 16S ribosomal RNA". It matches the Rfam family "Bacterial small subunit ribosomal RNA", at positions 328 to 539 of the family's 1533-position model. The record is from RNAcentral.